This is a long non-coding RNA of Poecile atricapillus (Black-capped chickadee), 956 nucleotides long. RefSeq lists it as uncharacterized. The record is from RefSeq and is a predicted model, not a curated record. The transcript has 4 exons. Lineage: Eukaryota; Metazoa; Chordata; Aves; Passeriformes; Paridae.
UUUACCCCCCUUUUCCUCCCAGACAGCCUACUUUCAUCACAGUGCACAAUUGAAAUUGGAGACCACUUGGGUUUCCUUACUUUGAAAGAGCUCAGAAGGAACCUUUACAACUCCUAAUGAAAGGCUGCAGAGAAGAGCUGAAAUUAAGUCAGCAGAGUUCAUGAUUUGUCUUGGAGCAGAGCCUAAUUCAGUUUGUAAUACAAGGUCUAUUCUGGAGUCCCAGCAUCAGGUCCUGAGGCUAUGAAUCAAAGUAAGAGAGUGGAGUUCAUCAGUUUUGCUCCCUUGGUCAAGUGGCAUUUAAAGAACCAUUCUGCAGACGCAGUGGAAAAUUACAGAAGCGGAAUUUUUGUUGGCCACUUCAUCCUUUUCAGCUCUACAGUAGUACUGGAAAGAGGAGUGAUGAUGGGAAGCUUAAACCUCAGCCCCUUCUCUGAGCACUGAAGUAUUUCUCAACACUGACUGCAGAGACUUUCAUAUAGAAAGAUGUGUUUUCAGAUUCCCUGCUCUCCCAGUCCUUGGCCUUUCAACUGAGACUGCCAACAAAUGAUUGCUGAACACUUGCCAGGCAGCAGUAACUUUCAGUCCUCAGUUUAUAAUAAUGCUAAAUCGGUAUUCUGCUGUCAACCCCUGGUUUAUAAUAAUGCAAAAUCAGUGUUCUGUUGCUGGGAAUGCCUUAUUCAUUAUGGGCCAUGUCCAAAUCACUUGAAUGUGAAUCUGUGGUGAUGCACAUCAACUAAUCUGCCAGAAAUUGCCUCAUAAAGGUGCAAUUCGCCAUAUUGGCAACAUGUAAUUUAUGAAGUCUCCCUUUUCAGACCAAAAUAAGGUUGGCCUAUUCCAAGGAGGUUAAAAAAGAUAAACUCACAACCAGCAAUAAAAUUCAAGGGAAAACGGAUGCCUAAUUCUAUAAAGCACUUCUGAAAAAUCCCAUCUGUUAAUGCUUAAAACAAUAUAUCUUC